RNAcentral lists this transfer RNA (74 nucleotides) under Pseudomonadota bacterium. RNAcentral describes it as "Proteobacteria bacterium (activated sludge metagenome) tRNA-Asp". It matches the Rfam family "tRNA". From Rfam's summary of the family: Transfer RNA (tRNA) molecules are approximately 80 nucleotides in length. The record is from RNAcentral. Lineage: Bacteria; Pseudomonadati; Pseudomonadota.
GGGGAUGUAGCUCAGUUGGUUAGAGUGCCGGCCUGUCACGCNNGUCGCGGGUUCGAGUCCCGUCAUCCCCGCCA